AUGAGAGAAUGGGUUCAUGACUUCUGUUCUGUUACAGGAUCAUGGGGGAGACCUGUGGCCUAUUUUUCGAGUAAGCUCGAUCCGGUAGCGGCAGGCAUGCCAAAAUGCCUGAGAGCUGUUGCAUCUGCAGAAAAAGCUAUUUUAUCUUCAAUGGAAAUUGUGGGGUACUCUGAUGUGACUUUGCUCGUGCCACGCACGGUCUCUGUGAUCCUGUUGGAACAGAAAACAUCCCAUUUGUCAACCCACAGAUGGCUCAGAUAUCUCAGCAGGUCAAGGACGCUCUGCCCAAGCCAGCGGAAGGAGUCUUGCAUGAUAUCAGGUCUUGCUAAUAACACACAGUGGUGAAAGUGGCAGAGAGAGCUACGUGGGUACAUGCAAGUCACUGCAGGAAGGUUCCAGUGCCACCAGAGGGCUACAGCUCAGUAAAGUGAUUGAUCAGCUGCCCCAUGCCAAGGGGGACGUCUGGCUGACUUAGGUGAACAAACAUACAGUGGUGUAUGGGAGCUGAACACGCAGCAACAUCACUGUGUGGGAGUAAUCUGGGGUCAGUUUGGGCCAACGGAUGACAGCGAGGGACUUAAGCUGUUAGAAAACCUACCAUCCGACCACUGCAGCGAAACUACAAGACCAACUCGACAAGAGGGAACACAGGCUGUGGAACGGAGCGGAGAAGUUCUUCCAUGCUGUAGUUCUGGUGCUUGGGGUCAGCCUUCUUCAAAUUGAAGUCCAAAUCAGGAGAUAUGAACUGAACGCUACUAAGGUGGUAAGGGAAGGCGUCAAGAAGGAACUUCGAGGGCUGAGGCUCACUGCACAGCAAGACCGACUUGUCCUGGAUCAACUCACCACAUCUCCUGGGUGGGGGGGUGUGUGUACUUUUGGGAACUGCAUGUGUAUGUAUAUUCCUGAUAACGAUGCUGAUGGCCACGUGAUAGAUGUGGGUAUUAAGAACAUGACUAAUGCAAUUCACAGGUUGACAGCUAUAAUCAAAUAUAAGAGUUGUUUGUUUUCUUUAUAGCUUGCUUAUAUGUUAGGAAUGACUAUAUUCCAUAAAAAAAACAAUGCAAAUGCUUUUUUUUCGCCUUAUGAUAGUAAUGGUGUUUUAAAUCUUGAAUUUACAUGAUUGAUGUAAACUAUAAGGGUAAAGUUUUCACAAAUUUAUCUACAUUUAAUCAAUAUAAGUGAUCAAUAAUGAUCAAAAGGGAGGAGUGUUAUGGAAAUUUUUAAUAUUGUUAAUCUUGCAUUGAUUGCAUUAAUCUCAUUUAAGUAUCUUCUUAAACAUACAAUGAUCAAGGUAGUAUAUAGUCCAUAGGGACAUUGAGUUAUUUUAUGUAACUUGUGCACAUAA
Molecule: long non-coding RNA, 1345 nt
Organism: Cyprinus carpio (common carp)
Lineage: Eukaryota; Metazoa; Chordata; Actinopteri; Cypriniformes; Cyprinidae
Source: Ensembl